UAGGGAAUCUUCCACAAUGGACGCAAGUCUGACGGAGCAACGCCGCGUGAGUGAAGAAGGUCUUCGGAUCGUAAAGCUCUGUUGUUGGUGAAGAAGGAUAGAGGCAGUAACUGGUCUUUAUUUGACGGUAAUCAACCAGAAAGUCACGGCUAACUACGUGCCAGCAGCCGCGGUAAUACGUAGGUGGCAAGCGUUGUCCGGAUUUAUUGGGCGUAAAGCGAGCGCAGGCGGAAUGAUAAGUCUGAUGUGAAAGCCCACGGCUCAACCUUGGAACUGCAUCGGAAACUGUCAUUCUUGAGUGCAGAAGAGGAGAGUGGAACUCCAUGUGUAGCGGUGGAAUGCGUAGAUAUAUGGAAGAACACCAGUGGCGAAGGCGGCUCUCUGGUCUGCAACUGACGCUGAGGCUCGAAAGCAUGGGUAGCGAACAGGAUUAGAUACCCUGGUAGUCCAUGCCGUAAACGAUGAGCGCUAGGUGUUGGGGACUUUCCGGUCCUCAGUGCCGCAGCAAACGCAUUAAGCGCUCCGCCUGGGGAGUACGACCGCAAGGUUGAAAC
RNAcentral lists this ribosomal RNA (554 nucleotides) under uncultured bacterium. RNAcentral describes it as "partial 16S ribosomal RNA". It matches the Rfam family "Bacterial small subunit ribosomal RNA", at positions 355 to 900 of the family's 1533-position model. The record is from RNAcentral.